This 532-nucleotide long non-coding RNA is filed under the name Sorghum bicolor (sorghum). Its description in RNAcentral is "long non-coding RNA (SBIC_LNC013939)". The record is from RNAcentral. Lineage: Eukaryota; Viridiplantae; Streptophyta; Magnoliopsida; Poales; Poaceae.
GUUUCUCUACAGUUCCGUGGGUCCUACAUCGGUUCACAAAUAAAAUUUCCUAAUUCCUAAACCCUAGCCAGCCCGACCCAUUCACAUAUGCGCCGCCACCCCAGUCCUCUGAGCUCGCAACUACAUCCGUCGCGCCACCGGGCUCCCCUGAGCUCGCACACACGCUGCCUCCCCGUGCCCUCUUCGAAGCCCGCGCCGUGCCUCCGGGGAUCUCCUCGACGCCCGCGCCGCCGCCCUGGAGACCUCCUGGACGCCCGCGCCGCCGCCCCCAUAGACCUCCUCGACGUCCGCGCUGCCGCCCCCGGAGACCUCCUCGACGCCCGCACCGCCGCCCUAGGGCCCUCCCCGGAGCCCGUGCCGCCACCCCAGGUCCUCCGCGGCGCUCGCGCCGCGCCCCCAUGGACCUCCGGAUGCCUCCGUCGCCGCUGUCCCCAAGGGCCUCGAGAGGCUACACACCACAGGGGCCUCUACAGCACCCGUGCUGCCACCAACGCACAAGGACAAGCCGAACCAACGCUGCCUAUAUGACGAG